AGUUAAAUAAGCAACAAGAAUAAGCCUAGUGCCUUGAAAACACUAUGAGAGAAGUUCAAACCUUCUAUUAACUU
Molecule: transfer RNA, 74 nt
Filed under: Coptotermes lacteus (milk termite)
Lineage: Eukaryota; Metazoa; Arthropoda; Insecta; Blattodea; Rhinotermitidae
Description: tRNA-Ser
Source: RNAcentral